GUCGCCUCCUAAAAGGUAACGGAGGCGCUCAAAGGUUCCCUCAGAAUGGUUGGAAAUCAUUCAUAGAGUGUAAAGGCAUAAGGGAGCUUGACUGCGAGACCUACAAGUCGAGCAGGGUCGAAAGACGGACUUAGUGAUCCGGUGGUUCCGCAUGGAAGGGCCAUCGCUCAACGGAUAAAAGCUACCCCGGGGAUAACAGGCUUAUCUCCCCCAAGAGUUCACAUCGACGGGGAGGUUUGGCACCUCGAUGUCGGCUCAUCGCAUCCUGGGGCUGUAGUCGGUCCCAAGGGUUGGGCUGUUCGCCCAUUAAAGCGGUACGCGAGCUGGGUUCAGAACGUCGUGAGACAGUUCGGUCCCUAUCCGUCGUGGGCGUAGGAAAUUUGAGAGGAGCUGUCCUUAGUACGAGAGGACCGGGAUGGACAUACCUCUGGUGUACCAGUUGUCGUGCCAACGGCAUAGCUGGGUAGCUAUGUGUGGACGGGAUAAGUGCUGAAAGCAUCUAAGCAU
RNAcentral lists this ribosomal RNA (507 nucleotides) under Staphylococcus aureus. RNAcentral describes it as "partial 23S ribosomal RNA". It matches the Rfam family "Bacterial large subunit ribosomal RNA", at positions 2282 to 2788 of the family's 2925-position model. The record is from RNAcentral. Lineage: Bacteria; Bacillati; Bacillota; Bacilli; Caryophanales; Staphylococcaceae.